Triticum aestivum (bread wheat) is the source of this 134-nucleotide non-coding RNA. NCBI's taxonomy places the organism in Eukaryota, Viridiplantae, Streptophyta, Magnoliopsida, Poales, Poaceae. The record is from Rfam.
GAUAUACUCCCUUCGUCCGAAAAUACUUGUAUCAAAAUGGAUAAAAAAGGAUAUAUCUAGAAUUAAAAUACGUCUAGAUACAUCCCUUUUUAUUCAUUUUGAUAACAAGUAUUUUCGGACGAAGGGAAUACUUU